Molecule: ribosomal RNA, 460 nt
Filed under: uncultured bacterium
Lineage: Bacteria
Description: partial 16S ribosomal RNA
Rfam family: Bacterial small subunit ribosomal RNA
Source: RNAcentral
CCUACGGGUGGCAGCAGUGAGGAAUAUUGGUCAAUGGGCGGAAGCCUGAACCAGCCAAGUCGCGUGAGGGAUUAAGGCCCUGCGGGUCGUAAACCUCUUUUGCCGGGGAGCAGAGGUCCGGACGUGUCCGGGCCGGGAGAGUACCCGGAGAAAAAGAAUCGGCUAACUCCGUGCGAGCAGCCGCGGUAGUACGGAGGAUGCGAGCUUGACCCGGAUUUAUUGGGUUGAAGGGGUGCGUAGGCGGGCAUUUAAGCCGGCGGUCAAAUGUCGGGGCUCAACCCCGGCCUGCCUUCGAAACUGGGUGCCUUGAGUGGGCGAGAAGUAUGCGGAAUGCGUGGUGUAGCGGUGAAAUGCAUAGAUAUCACGCAGAACCCCGAUUGCGAAGGCAGCAUACCGGCGCCCUACUGACGCUGAGGCACGAAAGUGUGGGUAUCGAACAGGAUUAGAUACCCCAGUAGUC